RNAcentral lists this long non-coding RNA (526 nucleotides) under Cyanistes caeruleus (blue tit). RNAcentral describes it as "lncRNA (ENSCCEG00000010041.1)". Lineage: Eukaryota; Metazoa; Chordata; Aves; Passeriformes; Paridae. The record is from RNAcentral.
AUGAAAGAAAUGGAAAGGCUUCUUUCACAACAUGCUUCUUGCAGAAAAACAACUUUUGUCAGCUUUCUGGAGUCAGUGAGCCUAUACUGCAGCAGGCCUGGGUCACAGCCAGAAAGUGAUUGUCUUCAGAGGAUUAUGGGCAUGCCCCAGAGGAUGGAAUUGCCAAGGAGUAGUGGAGUGCCCACUCAGGCAAUGCAGGCUUUCAAUAAUGAUGUCACCAGUAUCUAGAUCUUGAUUUCAUAUUGAAGCCUCCAUCCAGUUUCUUCAGUACUAUUCCAUGCCUCUCCUCCUUGAUGCUUUGACUAUCAUUUAAAACACCCUAUUUCCUCUGAGGAUGAAAAAAACGGGGAGAAGAAUCCUCAUGCAAGAAGAAACAAGACCUCAUCUCUGAUUGUUCCAGAUUGUUCUCUCUUUCAUGUCUUUACACUGUACUGUGGCUUCUCGGGAGCUGUCCUUGUGUUAGUUCACUUCAUGGUCCAUUAAAAUCUGUAUAUUCAAUAAAAUCUGUACAAACACAUUGCUUCCA